UCACCUGGAGGAAGAUGUGGAAGCCAGUAAUUCCAAAGGGUAAUUCCACGACAAAGGGAUUGUUUCUGCUCCUUUGUAGCUGGAAGCAACAGAGGAGAAGCGAAACUGAAGGCUACUAAGUGAAAUGUGGGAAGGGAAGACUGGGAUCCUUGGAAGUGCUGUUAAAGUUUCAAGGAAGAGAGAAAUGGAGAUGCAGAUCCAGCUCCUGAAGAACUGGCACAGAUCAGGAAAGUGCUGGUAAAAUCCAGGCACGGAUCUCUCCAGAGAAACGAGGAAGAGGAAGUUCCCAAGUGCACAGAUGGUUCCAGGCUGGAAUAGGAUAACUCUGAGCACCUGUUUUAAUUCCAGAACCACAGCAGUCAUUAAAGCAUUUUCACAGAGCCA
This is a long non-coding RNA of Vidua chalybeata, 384 nucleotides long. RefSeq lists it as uncharacterized. The transcript has 2 exons. NCBI's taxonomy places the organism in Eukaryota, Metazoa, Chordata, Aves, Passeriformes, Viduidae. The record is from RefSeq and is a predicted model, not a curated record.